ACAGCAGUAGCCGCGGGAAUACGAAGGGUGCGAGCGUUAAUCGGAAUUACUGGGCGUAAAGCGUGCGUAGGCGGUGAGUUAAGUCUGCUGUGAAAUCCCCGGGCUCAACCUGGGAAUGGCAGUGGAUACUGGCUCGCUAGAGUGUGUCAGAGGAUGGUGGAAUUCCCGGUGUAGCGGUGAAAUGCGUAGAGAUCGGGAGGAACAUCAGUGGCGAAGGCGGCCAUCUGGGACAACACUGACGCUGAGGCACAAAAGCGUGGGGAGCAAACAGGAUUAGAUACCCGCGUAGUCCCUGUCUCUUAUAA
Molecule: ribosomal RNA, 305 nt
Filed under: uncultured bacterium
Lineage: Bacteria
Description: partial 16S ribosomal RNA
Rfam family: Bacterial small subunit ribosomal RNA
Source: RNAcentral